CCAAUAGCGUAUAUUAAAGUUGUUGUGGUUAAAAAGCUCGUAGUUGAACCUUGGGCCUGGCUGGCCGGUCCGCCUCACCGCGUGUACUGGUCCGGCCGGGCCUUUCCCUCUGUGGACCCUCAUGCCCUUCACUGGGUGUGACGGGGAAGCAGGACUUUUACUGUGAAAAAAUUAGGGUGCUCCAAGCAGGCCUAUGCUCGAAUACAUUAGCAUGGAAUAAUAAAGUAGGACGUGCGGUUCUAUUUUGUUGGUUUCUAGGACCGCCGUAAUGAUUAAUAGGGACAGUCGGGGGCAUCAGUAUUCAAUUGUCAGAGGUGAAAUUCUUGGAUUUAUUGAAGACUAACUACUGCGAAAGCAUUUGCCAAGGAUGUUUUCAUUAAUCAGGAACGAAAGUUAGGGGAUCGAAGACGAUCAGAUACCGUCGUAGUCUUAACCAUAAACUAUGCCGACUAGGGAUCGGACGAUGUUAUUUUUUGACUCGUUCGGCACCUUACG
This 495-nucleotide ribosomal RNA is filed under the name uncultured Glomeromycotina. RNAcentral's name for it is "partial small subunit ribosomal RNA". It matches the Rfam family "Eukaryotic small subunit ribosomal RNA", at positions 591 to 1092 of the family's 1831-position model. Lineage: Eukaryota; Fungi; Glomeromycota. The record is from RNAcentral.